UUUAGCUAAACAAAUAUUAAAGGUAGUGCCUGCCCAGUGAAUAUUAUUUUAACGGCCGCGGUACCCUAACCGUGCAAAGGUAGCGUAAUCAUUUGUCCACUAAUUAUGGACCUGUAUGAAAGGCCGCAUGAGAAUCUAACUGUCUCUUAUAACCAAUUUAUAAAACUGAUCUUUCAGUUCAAAAGCUGAAAUAACAAUAUAAGACGAGAAGACCCUGUGAAGCUUUAAAAAUCCUAUUAACACUUUUAACAGGUAUUUUUAGUUGGGGCAACUUUGGAAAAUAACACAACCUCCAAAACAGGAAACACCUCACCAAGACUUACAUGUCAACUAUGACCCAGUAUAACUGAAAAAUGGACAGAGUUACUCCAGGGAUAACAGCGCAAUCUUCUUUAAGAGCCCAUAUCAAAAAGAAGGUUUACGACCUCGAUGUUGGAUCAGGACACCCAAAUGGCGCAGUCGCUAUAAAAGGUUCGUUUGUUCAACGAUU
This 490-nucleotide ribosomal RNA is filed under the name Amerotyphlops paucisquamus. RNAcentral describes it as "partial large subunit ribosomal RNA". It matches the Rfam family "Bacterial large subunit ribosomal RNA", at positions 1830 to 2589 of the family's 2925-position model. Lineage: Eukaryota; Metazoa; Chordata; Lepidosauria; Squamata; Typhlopidae. The record is from RNAcentral.